CGCACAUUGCGCCCUCUGGUAUUCCGGAGGGCAUGCCUGUUCGAGCGUCAUUUCAACCCUCAAGCCUGGCUUGGUGAUGGGGCACUGCCCGUAAGAGGGCAGGCCCUGAAAUCUAGUGGCGAGCUCGCCAGGACCCCGAGCGCAGUAGUUAAACCCUCGCUCCGGAAGGCCCUGGCGGUGCCCUGCCGUUAAACCCCCCAACUUCUGAAAAUUUGACCUCGGAUCAGGUAGGAAUACCCGCUGAACUUAA
This 250-nucleotide unclassified non-coding RNA is filed under the name Diaporthales sp. Its description in RNAcentral is "partial contains 5.8S ribosomal RNA, internal transcribed spacer 2, and large subunit ribosomal RNA". The record is from RNAcentral. Lineage: Eukaryota; Fungi; Ascomycota; Sordariomycetes; Diaporthales.